RNAcentral lists this long non-coding RNA (217 nucleotides) under Olea europaea (common olive). RNAcentral describes it as "long non-coding RNA (OEUR_LNC005957)". The record is from RNAcentral. Lineage: Eukaryota; Viridiplantae; Streptophyta; Magnoliopsida; Lamiales; Oleaceae.
AAAAUAAAAAUAGUUUCACCAAAUUAAUUUCACAAAAUGGGUAAUCCCGCUUGAACUCUGGACCACAAGAACUAGGAAGUCGAGGACAUUUUGGACUACAUAAACAAAUUAUUGUCUCAACUCCUCUGUUUUUUUGUAACUUUUACACGUUUCCCAUCAAACUUAUUUUCCAUUUUUAUUUCAAAUCAAAAGUCAAUGAAAUAGAUGGCGUUUAACC